This 361-nucleotide unclassified non-coding RNA is filed under the name Hevea brasiliensis (rubber tree). The record is from RNAcentral. Lineage: Eukaryota; Viridiplantae; Streptophyta; Magnoliopsida; Malpighiales; Euphorbiaceae.
GUAAGAGCCACAAAACAAGGGGACCUUAAAAAAUGAAGCUCAUAAUUACCAACAUGAUUUGUACACAAACUAUUACUUUUCCUUGCUAGUAUAAUGACUAUAGUUCAAGUUAAAUAUAAAUUUAUUUCAUCACCAGAAUAUCCCCCAGAAAGUAACAGUAUAUUCAUCAACUAUUGCAGAAGGAAAUUACAAACAAUCUAAUUUGAAAACUUAUUCAAUUGAAAUAGAAUCCAAUGUUUAACGUGCAAUGACAAUGAAGAGAAACCAAUAUUUCAACUACAAACUUCAAAAAAGAAACUCUUCACCGUAAAAACGUCUGCAAAAAAAUAAAUGCAUUACUUGUUUAUGCCACCUUGAACCA